AUUAGAAUGGCUCAGACCGAACGCUCCGGGCAGGCUUAACACAUGCAAGUCGAAGGAGAAGCAGGGCUUCGAGCAUGUGGACACUGGCGGACGGGUGAGUAACGCGUGGGGACCUGCCCUGGGGUGGGGGACAACCGCUGGAAACGGCGGCUAAUACCGCAUACGCCCUUUGGGGGAAAGCUUUAUGCGCCCUGGGAUGGUCCCGCGUAAGAUUAGCUUGUUGGUGGUGUAACGGCCUACCAAGGCUUUGAUCCGUAGCUGGUCUGAGAGGAUGAUCAGCCACACUGGAACUGAGACACGGUCCAGACUCCUACGGGAGGCAGCAGUGGGGAAUAUUGGACAAUGGGGGCAACCCUGAUCCAGCCCCACCGCGUGGGUGAAGAAGGCCUUAGGGUUGUAAAACCCUUUCAGCGGGGAAGAUGAUGACGGUACCCGCAGAAGAAGCCCCGGCUAACUCCGUGCCAGCAGCCGCGGUAAUACGGAGAGGGCUAGCGUUGUUCGGAAUUACUGGGCGUAAAGGGCGUGUAGGCGGCUUGUCGAGUCAGACGUGAAAGACCCGGGCCCAACCUGGGAACUGCGUUUGAUACUGGCAGGCUAGAGGUUGGAAGAGGAGAGUGGAAUUCCCAGUGUAGAGGUGAAAUUCGUAGAUAUUGGGAAGAACACCAGUGGCGAAGGCGGCUCUCUGGUCCACACCUGACGCUGAGGCGCGAAAGCGUGGGGAGCAAACUGGAUUAGAUACCCUGGUAGUCCACGCCGUAAACGAUGUGUGCUAGACGUCGGAUGUUCAGCAUUCGGUGUCGUCGCUAACGCAUUAAGCACACCGCCUGGGGAGUACGGCCGCAAGAUUAA
RNAcentral lists this ribosomal RNA (849 nucleotides) under uncultured Alphaproteobacteria bacterium. Its description in RNAcentral is "bacterial SSU rRNA". It matches the Rfam family "Bacterial small subunit ribosomal RNA", at positions 13 to 897 of the family's 1533-position model. Lineage: Bacteria; Pseudomonadati; Pseudomonadota; Alphaproteobacteria. The record is from RNAcentral.